Molecule: long non-coding RNA, 1646 nt
Filed under: Echeneis naucrates (live sharksucker)
Lineage: Eukaryota; Metazoa; Chordata; Actinopteri; Carangiformes; Echeneidae
Description: lncRNA (ENSENLG00000014724.1)
Source: RNAcentral
GAUAUAUCAAAAUGGAUGAUUUAGAUCACAGCAUGCACAUUGCAGAGUUCGACUGGACCAGCUUCUAUGAUCAGACUGAGGAGUGCAGUCUGCUGCAGCCUUCUCGCGCCUGCCCUGAUGACCUCAGUCUGAGUGACUCAGAGGACACAGACGAGUCAAGUUCCAUCAUCAGCACAGGCCGGCAGGAGAAGCAACAGAGCCCUGAUGUAAACAGUGGUGGAGCUGAGGCCACGGCUUCAGGCUGCGGCGAAGGAGAGGAGAGCUGCAUGAACUUAAUGAUGGAGUUGGUUGAGAGAGGUACCGGGGAAGAAAACAGCGCUGCAGAGGGGGCCUCUGAAGUAUGCCUUGAUUCUCCCACAGGAAAUACACUGAGCAUGAAGGAGGAGACAAAUGACAAUGCUGCAAACGCACUGCAAACUGAUACAAUACAUGAUCAGUGCUCAGGAGCUCCUACAGAGCUGAAAAAGGAGGAUGGAAAGCUUCGUGUCGAGGCAGACAAUACCACUGAUCCAUCAUGCGACCAAAUGGAAAACAACGUGAAUGAGCCUCACACCGCAGACAGAGCUGAAAACCAGGACAUUCAGAGUGUCCCUCCCAGAGUGGAGAAAGAGCGCUGGUUUGUGACAGUGAAUGACAGUCCAGCACAAAAGCAGGUGCGUACCACCUCUAUGAAAAAAAAACGAAGACAAAAAAAACUCUGUAAGAACAGUCACAGUCUGCGCAGCCAAACGGAGGAGAAAUCACAUGCAAAUGGCGUGGGGAUAAACAAAGGGAAAUAUAAACCAGGGGAGAAGGGACAUUUCCCCCAGUCAAACCAAAACCUUGCUCAAAACUCAUCAGGGGGUCAAAGUUUGAAAGUAAAUCCUGAACGCAUUUCAGAUUUGUUGCAAAUGGCUAAUGAAGAGGAGAAUGUGUCGGGAAACCUCACUGAGGAAGUGAUUUCUUAUCCCAUCCUCCAUAACAACACAGAGUCGACCACGGACAGAAACAAACAUCAAUCAGGCAGCUCAGCUUCCUCAUCACAUGACACAUGUACCCCUGAAGACUCCUCACAGCUGGAAAGUCCAGAGUCAGAAGAGUUUGAAGAUGGUGCGGAGUUCUUCUCCGUUCACAGUUAUGAUUCUGAAAGCUAUUUGUCUGCUGCUGAACUGAUUGAGGAAAAUCAAUCUGGGGAAACAACACAGCCGCUCUGCUCAGCACCUCUGAGUACAGAUACAGACAGUACACACGACAGACCAAUGCAUUCUUACGAUAGCACUUCCUUCUGCACUGUAGCAUUCAUCAACCCUGAACACACUGAUGCUCAUUCCACUCUCACAUUUCCACCUGCCCUCCAAAGAGCCAGUGAAAUGCCCCAUGACAGCUCUGCAUGUGAUAAUGACACACACAGCACACACUCACACACUCCUGGACUGGAAAGAUACAAAAUCAAUCUUUCAGCUUCUAGUAGCUCUGCAGGAGAGCAGCUGAAUCCCCUCCCUGCUCCAGAUUUGACUGCGACGCCUUUGGCUGACAGCCCUGAAGCAUACGCCAAAGCUGCAGGCCACACUCGACCCGUCUAUGCCAUUUCUGACUUUUGGGACGAAAUGGAGAAACUGACAAUAAAUGACAUUUUGCAGCUCAGGAUGGGGAGACGCAUUCCUCCC